Molecule: RNA transcript, 16388 nt
Organism: Anolis carolinensis (green anole)
Lineage: Eukaryota; Metazoa; Chordata; Lepidosauria; Squamata; Anolidae
Gene name: SKI/DACH domain-containing protein 1-like
Exons: 6
Source: RefSeq, a predicted model, not a curated record
UCCAAGUCCGCCUGGAAGAAAGAGGAGAGAGAGAGACAAGGGGGAGAGGCAGGAAAAGGUGGACGUGACACUGAUUUUUUUUUUUAAAUCCUUCCUUGUCUUGGUUUAAAGACCUCGCCACAGAUCCCGACAAGGAGGAGCUGCUUUGGAAACAGAAAAGAAGGGGGACCAUUCCUUGCUUCUUCCCUGGAGAAGAUUGGCUUCGAGGGAGGAAGAAAAGGAAGGAGGAAAAUGAGAAAGGCGAAGCAACAUCAGCAUCCUCCUCCUGAUUCCUGGCUGGAUUUGUAAAGACUGAAGGGCAGAAGAGUAUUAAGAGAUGCCUCCGGAGGGAUUUUGGGAUGUAAAGGUGGGCAAAAGGGAAGGGAAAGGGCUCUUCUUCCCAGGGCUCUAGCCAAGGGGGGGUUUAGGGGUUCAACCCCCCUCCCCGAAAUUUUUUAGGUUUACUAAUGAAUUUUAACUGGUUAACCAAAUCCCCAUCAGUGUCCACUGAAGUUUAUCUUUCUUGAGUGUCCACUGAAGUUUUUUCUGUCUUGAGUGUCCACUGAAGUUAAUCCAUGGAGCCUGAUUUCUAAAUUAUUUUGCAUUAUGGAACUAUUCUUCACGAUUCACUAAAAAAAAAAAAAGUUCCAACCCCCCUCCCCUUCCCGACUUUUUUCCCCUGGCGAUGGCCCUGCUUCUUCCCAGCUGCUAGGGAAUAAACAAACUAACAAGGAUGUUCCUGACCUGUUGGUGAUGGAUUACAAAGGAGACUUCCAAGCCGGCUUGCAAGAGAUCGACGGCAUCCCUCUGGGCUACUUACAGGUGGGAGGCACGCGGAUGUUCGCCUUGCCGCAGGUCUUGAGCCUCCUCUUCCAAGGCGUGCCCAGGGCCGCGCUCCGCAAAGCCAUGUCGGGCCUCCAGAUCCGGAGCCGCCGCUGCGACUUGCAGGAGCUGCGCACCCUCAAGGCCAUCCAGUCGGUCCCCAGCCGCGCCGUCAAGUGCUCGCUGAUCUCCAAAGCCGACCUGGAGGCCCUCCGGGCUGUGGCUCCGCGGAGGAAGAGGAAAAGGAAGGGCAAACGACGGGAGGCCCAUAACGGAGCGCUCUUCCCGGACAGCGCUUUCCAAAAGACUCCCUAUUCGAAAGGCGCUCCUCCGGCGGGGAAAAAUCAGGACAUCCUUAGCAACGUCUUGGGCGCUUACCCGAGAGACUUGCAGCUGCUCAGAGGGCAAGUUUUGUCCAAAAUCCCCGACGCGGCUCGCUCUAAACGCCCUUCUUGCGGCUGCUUGGCCAAAAAGCCUCGCUUGUCCGGCUCCAGCGACUCCGAUUCCUCCAGUUUGGCGACGACGAGCGAUUCCUCCGACGAGGAAGACGAAGAGGAGGAGGAAGAGGAAGAAGACUCAACGUGUAGUAGCAGCAGCAGCAGCGAAGAGGAGAGUGAAUUGCUCUCUGAACCUUCAUCGUCGGGAUCGGAGAGCAGCUCGCUUUGCAGCGGGGAUUCCAUCCAAAGCACUCGCUACAGGCAAGCCGCCUUGACGCCUCGUCUCCCUGGCCCUCCACAAGCGCCCUCCGUCUCCUCGGGGUCCUCGCUCCUCCCCAAACCCUUACGACCCGAGCCUAGUCUCCUCUUUUGGGCCAGGACGCUCCGCGCUUCCUCUUUGGCAACUUGCAAAGAGACGGAGUUGCGCCUCAAGCCGGACCCGAAGCUCUCUUCUCCUCCGCCGAGUUCCCAAGCGGAGCCUCCGAAGGACCCCGCUGAGCCAAACCCCAAGGCCGCCGAGGCUCCCCCCGGAGGAGGUCGAGAGACACAAUUCGACCGUUUAAUCCGAAAGUCCAAACUCUGGUGCUACGCUAAAGGCUUCAACGUGGACGCCAAGGCUCUGCGGCGCAGCGAGCAAGGCAAAGCGCAAGAGAAGGCGCCCAAAGCCAAGCCGGGCAAAGGGAGGCCGCGGAAAAGAGAGGCGGCGAAGAAAACCGCCCCGCGCCCCAACCCUCCCAGGCCGGCGUUCACCUUAAUGGGCACCUUCCCCUGCACGCCCGCUUUAAUCGUCGGCUCCGACGGGGAUUUGUGCCCGGCUUCCUCGCUCUGCGUCAAGGACUCCGUGGCUCCAGGCAAGACGCACCCGCUCUGGGCCUGGCAGAUGGGAGGCCACGCCAUGCCCGUGCCGCCCAGCCUGAAAUUCCGGGCCUACGCUUUGGAGGACGUCGGCUAGGUUGAGCAACAGGUUGGGCUUUGUUUUGAAGGGUGGGAAGAGCUGAGUAUGGAAGAGGGAAGGACGCCUGGCCGUUCAGAUAGGUUUGCCUCGAAGUGAGCUACUUGGUUCCAGUGGCCUUGACUCCCAAGUGUUUGCAUGUGAGAGAAGAACGACGAUAAAUUACUUCAUUAUUUAGUAAUGGCAGCCAGAAUAAUAUACGCCCAAAAAUGGAAAUCAAUAGAAUUAUCAACAAUGGACCAAUGGAUAUUAAAAGUGACAGAAAUUAUGAAAAUUGAUAUACUAACGCAGGCAAGUACCCAGGAUACACAGAAAAAAUGCAACAGAUUGGUUUGCAUUGAUAUACUUUAUGAAAGAAGAAAAAAUGAACUUGAUAGAAGAGAUCACUUAUUGCAACUUUGUUCCUCAGGGAAGAGACGUGAAGAGGGAAUAGUGGUAAAACAAUAAUUGGAAAAGAUGAUAAUAUAAACAUCCAUGGAGAAGACUGGAAGUCAGUUCAAUUUUUUCUUUUUCCUUCGCUCUUUUUUAAAAAUUUCCUUUUUUCUCACAUUUUUUCCAGAUUUACUGUUCCACUUUUUGAGUAAACCCAAUCUUUUCUCCCCUUACCUGAUUUUAAUCAUGUCAAAAAUACUUUAUUUUUUAUUUUUUAAAUCCCCCAAAUUAAAAGGCACAUACAAAGAUGUAAACAUAAAAAAGCAAAAGCACCAAUGAACCUGAUCAGAAAUCACUUUUGAGAAAACUCCAUGUAUAUGCGCCUUCAAAUUACCUGUCAGCUUCUCCAUAAAUUUCAUAGGCUUUUCUUGGGCAAGGAAUACUAACCAGAGUUGACGCUAUUUCAAAUGGGAUCUAGUAACUUUUGGGUAUUUAGGACAGCUCUAAGAAACCCCUACUGUUACUAAAUAUAACUUGAAACAAGAAUUAGUGCCACUAAUACAGAAGGGCUGAGAAGUAGCUAUAUUAGAUUAAUAAUAGGUCAUGCCAAUUAAUUAGGUCAUGCCAAUGCAUGUUUUUCUAAAGCAGACUCUCUAGAAAGAGUUCAAUAGGGCUUACUCACAAGGAAGUAUACAUAGAUGUGUGAGCCACAUCCUAUACAUACCUAAAUCAACUAAAAAGAAAACACUAAAGAACUCUGCAACCUGAUAAUCAUACCAAAAGAGUCCCAACUCCUAAAAUCACUUCUACUGCUUUUUUUUCUGUGUCAGAAGCAACUUGAGAAACUACAAGUUGCUUCUGGUGUGAGAGGAUUGGUUGUCUGCAAGGACAUUGCCCAGGGGAUGCCCGGAUGUUUGAUGUUUUGUCAUUUUUGUGGGAGGCUUCUCUCAUGUCCCCACAUGGGGAGCUGGAGCUGACAGAGGGAGCUCACCUGCUCUCUCCGGAUUUGAACCGCUGGCCUGUCGGUCAGCAGUCCUUUUGGCAUAAAGGGCUCCACUUCUAUUGCUAAGUCCUUCAAAAGCAAGUCCCACUACUUUCAAAAAACAGAAUUCUAAGUAAGGGAUACUUCCACACUUGCCUUUGAUUUUUCAUGGAGACUUGGCAUGGGCUUUUUAUUUAGGAAGCUGUUCUUCACAAAUAUUUGUACUCUCUUAUAUUUUUAAAAAAAUAUUUAAUCAUGUUUGUUUGUUGAAAGAUUAAAAUUAGUCAUUUUAAAUGACUAAGGGCCUUCUCACGCCACUCUUUUAUGUCUUAAAAUUUGCUCCAACUACCAUGAGGAUAGCUGAUUUCUGAUGCUCUCUGUUGCCCCCUUGCUGCAUUUGUGCUUUUAAGAACUUUAACAGCAUCAUCUGAUUCUGCAUGUUUAUUUUGUUUGCAUUGAUAACAUAAUUACCGACCUUUGUACCCUGCUUCUUAAGUAGAUUGGUUCAUCUAUUUUUUUUAAAGUAAGAAUAGUGCUAUGAUGCCAAAAUUGUAUGGCAGUAAGCCCGCUGCUGGUAACGGCCACCCACUUAACACGACUCGGUAUCUGUGUUUGGGUUUCGCUAUUUGCGGCCCGGAUCUCACUACCUGUGGCUGUUUUAAAUUGCUAUAUUUCAUUUGGAACGUGAAACCUCCAUUCAAGGCUCAUGCUGUACCAGUGAACUGCAGCCAUUCCCUGUACUCUGUAAUUUCCUUUUUAAAUGAGGGUGAGUAGAAAGAUUAUUGCAAAGAAAACAGUACACUUUGAUCUGCUCUAGGAAAGUAUUUUAUAUUAUCUACCAAGGGUAAAAUGCUCAGGAUCAAUUGGCACAUAUUAGUUAUGUUUUAACUAGCUACAUCUCCUAUGAAUUCUUCCUUGGCUUUGUAAAUUAAAAACAUACAAUUCAGUGGACUAUGGGGAGUUUGAGGGGGAAAAGAUAAUGCUAAACUAAAAUUGGCCUACUUUUAAGAAUGUUCAAGUAGUUUCAUGGCUGAGUGAGGAUUUGAGCCUGGGAAUCAGGGGCAAGGGAAGAAUAAUGAAGGGAGGAAAAGAGAAGUCUAGGGUGUUGUUUUAAACAUUGAGGCCAAAAAGCCAUUAAAAGGUCUCCUGCAUUUAUUAUGGAGACUGGCAAUGAUAUUGCAGAGAACAGAGUACUGUAGUCUGUUCAAAACUGUAGUCUUUAUAGUGUAUUCACUGAAUCAUGAUGAUUAAAUAUGUGUUUUCUAGCUAUGCUGUGCCAAUUUAGUAUCUGUCAUUAGAAAGAAACUCAGGGUUGUCAUUAAGUCCAAAUGAAACAAUUUUAUUUGCUAGUAUCUUCUAUGAUAGCAAUUACAUCUUUGGAUCCUCUCUUUAAAGUCUUAAAGAAAUAUAGUCAUCUUAAGAUCAGCAAUAGGACUUAAUUCAUAUUAAGCUAUAUGUUUAUUAGGACCAUCUAGUUUGUAAUUAGUUAAUUAAUUUUAUUUAGAUGUUUAAAUUAUUCAAUGCAUAAAGUUAUUUAAUAAUAAUAAUAAUAGCUUCCUUUGAUCUGUCAUCCUUUUAUCUCUUUUGCAUAACUCUUCAGAGUGUUGUUUCCAUAAUGUUUUAUUUUGUCCUGACCGCAUAAUGUGUUCACCAGUUGCUCCUUUAGUCUCCCAAAUCUUGGUUUGAAUUUUCCUUUGAUUUCUUGGAUCUUGUGUGAGAGAUCAGCACUUCCAGCCUAUUUGCUGUGUUCUUCUAUUUCUUUGCAUGUACUGUAUUACUGUAAUGGAUUUCUUUGUUCCCACAUAAAAGGUGCUAGACAAUCGAAACUGGUAUUUUGACCCUAUUUCUAUCACUUUUUAUUUUUACUUAUCACCUCUCUUUGAUUAAUAGUUUCACCAGUCAUCCAGUGGAGUUUUUUUUCUUUACAGCUACACAUGGAAAGUUGUUUGUUGUUGAUGUUGUUGUUGUUGUUGUUUGCAUUCUUCCCCCAUAGUGUCCCUGAUUUUGGUCCACAGUUAGUCUGGUUUGAAAUUAAUUACAUCUAGCAGUCAUGCCGGCCACAUGACCUUGGAAGCGUCUACGGACAACGUCGGCUCUGCGGCUUAGAAAUGGAGAUGAGCACCAACCCCCAGAGUCGGUCACGACUGGACUUAUCGUCAGGGGAAAACCUUUACCUUUAUCUAGCAAUGUAAAAUUUUUCCAAUCUGUAAAUUCUAUAGGAAUUCCCCUUUACAUUUUAUUUUGACAUUAUGACUGACUUAAUGUUCUUUCAUUUCAGUCUAAUUUUUCAUAUCGGUGGUCCAUGUCCUGUGCCACACUCUCUCUCUGCUCUCUCUCUGCUCUUGUUUUCACAGAAAGCAUUGAGUUUCUCCAUCUUCGGAGUCCAAUUUGCUCUCUAUAUCAACCAUCUGGUGAUGUCCAUCUAUACCGUCCUCUAUUUAAUUGCCUGAAGAAUAUGUUUGCAAUUAUCAAACUGGCGACUUUGAAAAAAUUCAGCACAGCACUCUCCUGAUUCAUUUCUUUGCUUUUCUCCUGUAGAGUGUUUCAACCUGUGGAGUAUGUCUUCCAUCAUGAUUUCUUAAUUCAUACUAGGUUUCUUUCAUCAUAGGUAUUUUCAAGAGAAAAGACAUUCAGAAGGCUAGUUUAAGUAUGCAGCAUUUUACCAGAUGCAAAAGUACUGAGGAUUCUUGAGAAAUGCAGUGUUCUCUCCCGAAGGGCAGUUCUACAAUGACAAGAAAAGUAGGCAUCUCGAUCCAGCAAAGCUGCCUUUUCCUCCUCCCAGUGUCAUCGCAAGUCAUCCAAUCCUAAACUCCUCUUUAAGACUACAAGCAAAUCGACACGGUCAUGAAAACCACGGACUCACCCUGAAUUGACCCUCCGACCAUCCGCACAACAUUCUGGAACUUCUGGAACACAGUUUCGACACCAGAAGCUAGGAAAGGCACCAGAAUAUUCUUUCCCUCCUUUUCUACCAGCUCAAGAAUGAUUCAAAGGGAUUUGACUUUGUCCUCCUCUGAGGCUGAGAGAGUGUGACUUGCCUAAAGUAACCCAGUGGGUUCAGAGACACAGUCUGAGGGUCAAACACCAUGCUUUCAAUUUUUUCUCUUUUUCUUACUUGCUUUUCUUCCAUGCAAGAUGGGGAAAAUCAUCUUGGUGGACUGAAUCUGGCUCCCAGGCAUAGCGACUAAAAAUAUGGCCUAAAUGACUUUAAAGCUCAGAACAAACACAUUUCCAAAUGUGCAUAGGAUGAUCCUCUAGAUGAAAAAGUAGAAAACAAAUCUCUGCUUACUCCUAGUAUCACACAUCAAACCAGGGUGAACAAAGUGUGGUCUGCAAGCAACAUGAAGCCCAGUUUUGCCCUCCUUCAGGGUCUCCACUUUUUUUUAAAAGAAGUCAAUUAGGCAUUAAACUCAUAACUAACUUAAAAACAAUAACCAGAUAGUUUAAUAUCUUAAGAUCAAUGAAUGCAUAUGCAGAUUUUUUUUCAGAAUUUGAUACCAUGGUGAAACAAUGUUUUCUUUCUGCAUUUUAUCUGUCCCAAGAUAUUUUAAUAUUUAUUAAUUUUUAAUAUUAGCUUUGUUGAGCCAAGACUUGUCAGAAAACAAAGAGCAUGAAGAAACUGGAGAUGUAAACUAGAGCCUGUUGAGAGCCCCUCCCUCUAUCAUCAACUGACAUUCAGCUGGACGAGUGAGAGGGAGACUUCCGUUGGUUCCUCUGCAGCCACAGUUGAGAGCCCCUCCCUCUUAUCAACUGACAUUCUGGUGGCCAGUAAGUCAACGGCUGUGAGGGUGCAUGAAGGCAGCAACAGAGGUCAACUUUCAUCGUGGUGUCCAUGCCUUUGGAUCAGAGCCUCUUUCUGUGAAGAUUAUGUGUUGGUCGAUGUGCAUCAAUCCCCAGACAGAAAACAUUCUCGCAUAGGAGAUUUCCAAGCAAACCAAAACCAACGAAAGUCCCAUGGUGAUCAGUGAGUUGCGACUGGGGCAGGACUGCCAACUCUGGGAGCCGCUAGAUAUACACCGGCCCAUAAAUGGAAAAUAUGGUGGUUGUAACCCACCACUGUAGCUUUGGAAGACAAUUAUACUUGGACCCGAGUUAUAGCCUAUGAUGACAACUCAGAAAAGAGAGAAUCAAGAGGAAGAAGAACACAAUGAGCUAUAUUUGAUCAAUAUUCCAAUUUUUCAAAAUCUGUGUAGGAAUUUUGUCUCCUAUAAUGACCCCACAUUAAUAAUUGCUGUUUGAGAAAGUUCCUCUAUUUUUGCUUUCAACUCAAAGCCUCUUGCAGUCCCUCCAAAAUUUCAUAGCUACAAACUGGGACAUGUGUGACCAAGCAACAUAUGACUGCAACUAAGAAGGCAAAAGAUACUAAGGAGGAUGAGGACAUAAAAGCUAGGAAGAUAGCUGUUUGCAGCAGCUGAAGUCAAAUGUUAAAGAAGCGAGAGGAGAAAAGAGAAAUUAGGCAAUUUUAAAAGCAGCUUAAAAAUAGGAUGACAGAAAAUUAAUUGGUACCAUCCUCACAAAAUCCAGACAGUUGAUGCAUAUGAUUUUUGAGCACCAGGAAUGAACAAUCUGUAAAUGGCUAACAUUUCAGUUGGCUAUCCACAGCCAUAGGUUUUGCAUCUCUGGAUUCAAUGACGGACUACUUGAAAAUAUGAGUGGUAUAUUGAUUUUGUCAUUUUAUAUAACAUUUUCAGCACUUCUUAUGAAUGUUGUAAGACUCUAAAAUGUCAAAGGCUUCUGAAAACAGUCACAAUUUACCCAAUUUUCUGAUUAUUUCAAGAAAAAACACAAAGUGAGGCCAGGAUCUCAUGUUUCUAAAUUCUAGAGUGUUAAAUCACUUAUUCAGGAAGGAAGCUUUGAGAUGAAUCUUGGAAACAACAAUUAAUAAUUUGGUUUGUCAGGUUAUUUUUUCUGGUUAGAGAAGAGGGGGGGGGGGUAUUGCUUAAUGGAAAUCCAUUGUGAUUUACAUUUUGAAAAAUCGUGUCAGGAGCAACUUGAGAAACUGCAAGUCGCUUCUAGUGUGAGAGAAUUGGCCAUCUGCAAGGAUGUUACCCAGGGACACCCGGAUGUUUGAUGUUUUACCAUCCUGUGGGAGGCUUCUCUCAUGUCCCCAAUUGAGAAGCUGGAGCUAACAGAUGAGAGCUCACUCCACUCCUCGGAUUCGAACUGCCAACGCCAGCAACUUCAAGCUAACAAUUUGAGGAUGAAUGCAGUCAAUAUCCAAGAGGGAAUUAUUUGGUGUUCCAAGACUGGAAUCAGAGCUCCUUGCUCCACCUGUUGCUCAGCAAUGGUUCCUACAAGCGAGUCAAAUGCAACCAGGUACAAAGUGCGUUCUAGAGUCUUUGCCUAAGUUGCCUAAAUUUUCUGUCCUCGAAGUCCUUCUGUAGUCUUUGCAUUUCCUCCUCUGGCCAACUGAAACAGUUUCAGUUGGAGUGAAUGGGUUCCUGACAGUGAACUUUCUGGCAGGAGAGUUCCCCCAUUCUUCUAUUUUUGUUGGAAUUCUGAUCUAAAAAGGGAGUUUCAUUCUCCAUCCAUGUUUGUUGCUUGAAUGAAGGAAGAAGCCCCAGUUUCCCCCCAAAAUAUGUUCCAAAAGGUUCAAGACCCUGAAGUUCAACUGAAACCCCCUUGGGGGGAAAAGGUUGAAGCGCCUUUACAUUCCUCUAUGAAUACAGGAUGGACUAUGGACUCAUUCUGUGUAUAAUUCAUGUGUCUGCUAAUCUUUCCAUUUAUCUGCUUGUGAUCGAGGUGACCACCCCCCCCCCCCAGGACUUUGUAAAAGAUAGUUCAAAAAUCAAGACUUUAUGUUCUAUAUUCCAUAUAUUUAUAGUAGAAGGUGAUUGAGACUUUUUACUGGAGUUUACUGUGGUUUACUAAAACUCUCUGCACAAAAGGUGUUUGACCUUUUAGCCUGAGGCAAGAGAUAACAACUUCAUGAAUUGUAAAAUCAUGCUGCUAAAACUCCACUUUUAUGAAUUUCCAUGCUGGGUUCUCCAGAUGUUAUGAACUUCGUUCUUAUCAAAUAUUUUCAAUUGUUUAUAUCAUUCAUGAUUCCCCUUUAUGCAAUGUAACUCACUUUUAUGAAUUUUCCCUUAUUUCCAUGAAAUCUAUCUAUCUGCCUAUAUGUAUCUGUACUCUUUGGGAUCCCCGGAAAAUAUGUAUUUUUCCCAGCCUGGGUUAUAUUACAACUUUAUUUUAUUUUUCAUUUUAUUUCAUAUAAUUGUCAAAUCAUGAAAUCAAAUUGGAAAUAUUUUGAACUCAACAUGAACCCCAGAACCUAUCCCAUUUCCUAUGACCCAGGCUUCCUUUCCCAAAAACAAAAAGAUAAUCUGCCACCGCUAAAUCCAAUCAAAUUCAAAUUGCAUGGACAAUAUAGGGCUUGAGUCGCCGAAUUCGGAGUCGCUGACCUAAAGGUGAUUCGCCCCAAGGCAAACAUUGUCAUAGAUCACCCAAAGAAAUAUCCAGGACACCUCAGGAAGGCGCCCUGCAGAGCCUGUCAAUAUGGCUCAUCACCACCCAUCUUUGCUUCCAUCUCUGACACCCCAAGGCAUAUCUAAAAUCUGUAUACGUGACAGAAACCCGGACAUCCUUGAUUGCUGCCAUUAAUAAAAUAGCACCCUUUAGAAAUCAGUCUAGCAGGACUUAAUCCUCUGGUUCCUGUCCCUGUCACCUCAUUGUUUCGCUAACUCCCGCCUUCUCCCUCCUGAUUGGCCCGAGUGGAGACAUAAGGCAGCUUCCUAUUGGGCCAACGGAGCGAGGCGGGAAACAAAAGCCCGCCUCGUUCAAACUUCUAGCCUAUCAACGAUCAGAUGGGCGGGGAAGCAGGGCGGGAAAUUCAAAGGGCUGUCAGACUGAAAUUUUGUAUAAGUAUGGCUUUAUUUUGAUUGUAAGGGACUGCUGGUAAGUCGAAUGAUCGCUACCAGAGUCCUCUUCAGCUGAAUUGCUCAAUAAAGACUCCUUAGUGGAUUUUCCUUCAACUUUGGCGGACCUUCUUCAUUUCGGCUUCAGGUUGUAUUGCGGCUCGUAUUUUCCUUUUGGCUCCGCCAAGGUCCGUUCUCUCAGGACCGGAUCGGGUCUCUCCUCAAGGGCCCCGAUCCCCUAAAACGCGGUCGACAACAUGCUCACCAGUUCACCUUGCCAACCCAUUUCUUAUCACAAACUGUGUGAGCAGGAAAUUUCUUCUGAAACGCAUAGCAGAAUAUCUAUGGUUCCCCAUAGGAUUUUCUGGCCCUGUACAACAGUGUACAAAUUGUGCUGUGAUUUGUAACCCCGAGGGCUGGAGAUUUUGUGUGCUGUGACUUUUGUAUGUUGUCUAAGCAGUUGAUCUUCCAUUCACUUUUCUUACAUUGUGAACUGGUGCAGAAUACUAAAGACCAUUUCAUUCUACAGGAGCACAGUUUCGACACCAAGAUCUGUGGUAAAGGCUUCAAGAGACCCUCUUUCUUGUAUAUCCAUUUUCUCAUCCAUUUAGAUACCCGCUCUUAUCCAUAUCAAUUCUCUAGUGAAACAUUCCACCAGAAAUCUGGUAUGAAGAAGCAGCCAUUCAGACAUCCAGGUGAGAAGCCCCAGAAGCCACAGGGAUGUGGCAGAGCUUCCAGCCAGAGUUGCAGCCUCAUCACUCCCAGUCGGAAACAUGCCAGCUUCCAGAGAAAGGUGGAUCUGAAGAAGCAUUGGCAGACACAGCACGACCUGAAGUGAAAGCCAUGUGGAAUGAGGGAAAUCAACAGAAACAUUACGUCAAUGCAUGGUCCCAUCUUUCUAAUGCAGUGGUUGUCAACUUGUGGGUCCCCAGGUGUUUUGGCCUACAUCUCCCAGAAAUCCCAGCCAGUUUACCAGCAGUUAGGAUUUUUGGGAGUUGAAGGCCAAAACAUCUGGGGACCCACAGAUUAAGAACCAUUGUUCUAAUGGAUUGCCCUUUCCACAUGCACACCAGCUUGUAAUCCCAGACACUCUGUAUGGGUAAACUACCUGGUGCCUGUAAAUGAGAAAGUCCUCUAUCUAGGCAUACUUUGGAAACAGGGAAAGGAUUCCCUCAAUCUAACUCUAUCAUAUAUCUGACUACAUUUAGACUUGAGUAGUCCAGGAUGAAUCCCAACACUCUCUCCCUGUGUUCCCCAAUUAGCCUUCUGUUACUGAAAAAGGUUUUCUUAGGAAGCCUGAACUCCAUGAGUUUACAUGGUUAACACACUGCUCAGUGCAACAAGAAGAGACUGAUUGUGUUUUCAUUUCGACAACUUAGGACCUCAUCCCACUGAACAGAUCAAGUAUUUGGAAGAGUGGCUAAUAUUGGAAGAAAAUGAAUUAUUUUCCAUCUAGGAACUUUUAGGAAUUUUCCCCUGCAGUUUAAUAUAGCAGGUAGGGAUGUAGGUCUACUUCUCAUUUUGGAUCUCCAUCUUAUCUGUACCAUGCAGAGAUCAGAACUAACUCUGAAGCACACAUGUGGUUGAGAAAGUCCCAGGGCUGUUUUGUUGGCAAUGAUGUCUCUCACCCUUAGGAUUUGAUAAUAGUUAUGAUAUGGGAUGUGGCAAAGGUGUGGCUGUUUAAUCCUCCUCCAACUCGUCCUUCCUCUCCCCUCCCCUCUCUACCCCCCUCCCCCUCCCUCUCCCUCUCCCCAACCUCUCCCCCCCUUUCCCUCCCGUCUCCUCCCUAUCCCCUUCCUUUCCCUCUCCUCCCUGUCUCCUUCUUCCCCUUCCGCUCCACUAUACACACCACACUUACCUCUCACACUUCACAUACCUUACAUACACACUUUAUACCAGUGGUUCUCAACCUGAAGAUCCCCAGGUGUUCUGGCCUUCAACUCCCAGAAAUCCUAACAGCUGGUAAACUGGCUGAGAUUUCUGGCCAAAACACCUGGGGACCCACAGAUUGAGAACCACUACACCACGUAUACACCCCCCAUGCAAACCACACAUCAUACACAUCUCUCCUGUCUUCUCUUUCCCUCUUUCUCCCUUUUGCUUUUCUCCCAUCUUUCUGUCUUUCUGCCUUUCUCCUAUCUUCCAUCUCUUUCUCUUCCCUUCUCUCUUAUCCCUUUUCUUUUUAUUUUCCCCUUCUCUUUCUCCUAAUCCUUUCUCCUUCUUUGCUUUCUAUUUCUCAUUAUGUUUCUCUGUCCCUUUGCCUUCUCUUCUCUUUCUUUUCAAUUUCCUUUCUCUUCUUCUCUUUUCUCCUCUUCUUUCCCGUUCUCCUUCCUCUGCCCCUCCCCUCCCCCUCCCCCUUCUUUUCCUCCUCUCCCCUCCCCUCCCCUCCCCUUCAUUCCCCUCCUUCUCCCUUUCCCAUUUCCUGGAUUUCAGCCUGCCACUCUUCAGUUGUGCACCUGUAGAGUUCUAGUUACUUACUCUUCUUAAAAGAAGAUCAAGAAGCUCAGUAGAAAUGUGUUAAUAUAGGAAGUCACAACUUUAACUUUUCAAUGAAUCGAAAGGAUUCUUAAAUUUACAAGCAGCUGAUAAAGAAGAGUAAAAAAAGAAAGCAAGUCAGUUUCUUAAAAUUCAAAAAUGAUGUUCACUUAAGUAAAAAAAAAAGGAGUAAUGAAUACACCUACCUUCUGAAAUACCUUCAGCUUUUCAUGGUUAUGGAACAAGUAGGUGAAAACCAAUGUGCUGGUUUCAAUAUCUGGUGGAUUUGCCCUGAAAUGGCCCCAUACCAGGAAGGAUCCAGGAAUUUGUGUGUUAUUGUAUGAAUUUGCCUUAACUUAUUAUUGUCAUAACUCAUUGGGGGGGGGGGGGGAGAGAAUAAGACACUGACUGUUCAUUUGCAUCACUUAAGAGAGCUAAAGUUGGAUGAAAAUGAACUAUUUUCCAUCUUGGAACUGUUGUCCUGAGUUAACAGAGCAGGUGGGGAUUUCGGUCUGUUUCCCAUUUUGGAUCUCCCCCUUAUCUUUACCAGAAGAUAAGAAUUAGCUCUGAAGCACGCAUAUGGCCAAGAAAGUCCUAGGCCUGUUUUGCUGCCAAAAGUGUAUUUCAUUUUUGGCAUUUGAUCAUGGUUAUGUUAUAGGAUGUGCAUCCUAUUGGGAGGAAGGUCUGGCUGUUGAAUCCUAUUCCUCCCCACCCUCUCCUCUUCCCUGCCUUCCCCUCUCCUCCCUCCUCUCUUUCCCUCCCCCCUCCCCUCCCCUCUCAUCCCCUCCCUCCCCCUCUCUCCCUCCCCUUCCCACAACUCACACCACUCACACAACAUAUACAUAUCACACACAGAACAUAUAUCACACACAUCACAUGACUCACUCCUCUCACACCACACACACCUGAAAGAAACUAUGCACAUCACACACAUCUCACACCAGAAACCUCUCAUACAGGACAUACACUGCACGCAUCACACACACCUUACACCUCACACACCAUACACACAUUACAUAUACAGAACACAUUCCACACAUCUCAUAUCUCUCAUCUCAUCUUUUCUUUCUCUUUUCGGGGGUGCUUUGAAUGCGAUUUCCUGCUUCUUGGCAGGGGGUUGGACUGGAUGGCCCAUGAGGUCUCUUCCAACUCUACUAUUCUAUGAUUCUAUGAUUCUAUUUUCUGUCAUCUUUCUGUCUUUCUCAUUUUCUCUUUUCUCCCAUUUUGCAUCUUUUUCUGUUUCUGAUUUCUCUGUUCUCUAUCUCACCUCUUUCUUCCCUUCCUCUUCUCUUUUCUGUUUCUUCUAGCUGUCUCUUUUGUUCUUCUCCUUUGCUUUCUCUUUCUGUUUUUCUUUUUUGUUUUGCCUUUCUCCUUCUCUUCUCCUUUUCUUUCUUUUUCACCACCCUCUCCCUCCGCCUCCUCUCCCUUCCUUUUCCCCUUUCCAAUCCACUUCCCCUCCCUCCCCUCCCCCUUUCCCUCCUCCUCUCUUCCCUUCCCCUUCCCUUAACCAUACCAUCAUCAUGCCAAAAGUGAUGUGGUGUCCCCUUAAGUGAAAAAGUGCAACUUAUGCAUAGACCUUCCUUCCGAAACACAUCCAGCUUUCUAUAAUUAUGGGACAAGCAUGUGAGAGGUAGCCAAUGUGCUUUGACAGACUGGUUUCAAUAUCUGGGGGAUUUGCUCUGAAAUGGCCCUGUGCCAGGAAGGAUCCAGGAAUUUCUGUGUUAUUUUAUGGAUUUGCAGAAUAACAGACUGACCAUGUGUUCAUUUGCACCACUUAAGAGCUAAAGCUGGAUGCAAAUGAAUUAUUUUCCAUCCUGGAACUGUUGUCUCGUGUUAAUGGAACAGGUGGGGAUUUAGGUCUGUUUCUUAUUUUGGAUCUCCCCCUUAUCUUUACAAUGCAGCAAUGGUCAGAACUAACUCUGAAGCACAUCUAUGGCCAAGAAAUCCUAGGCCUGUAUUGUUGUCAAUAGUGUCUUUCAUUUUGGGCAUUUCGUCACAAUUAUUUUAUUGAAUAUGUAUUUAGUAAUGGGGAAGAUUUGGCGGUUAAAUCCUGCUCUCCUCCCCUCCCCAUGCUCUCCACUUCCCUUCUUCUCUCCCAUCCUCUCCUUUCUUUCCUCCCCUUCUUUUUCCCUUCCCUUCCCUUCCCCUCCUCUCCCUUUUCCUUCUCACAUCUCACACACCACACACCACACACCUCAUAAAUAUCUCACACAGCACAUAAACCACACACAUUUUACACCACACACAACCGAAAGACACAGUGCACAUCAGGCACACCUUUCACCACAAACCUCUCACAUGGCACACACACUGCAUGCAUCACACACACUAAACACCCACACACUACACACACCGAACACAUCUUACACAUCUCAUAUCUCCUCUUUCUUUUUUCUCCUAUCUCUCGUCUUUUUCGCUCUAUUUCUGCUUACUCUAUUAUCUCUCGUUCUCCUUUCUCUUUUUCUUCUCUCCGUCUCUUUUGUCCUUCUCCCUUUCUUUUUCUCUUUUAUCCUCCUUCUUUGCUUUCCCCUUUUCUUUCUCUUUCUCUUCUCCCUCUCUUCUUCUCCUCCCCUCCCCUUCCCCUUUCCCCUUUCCCUCAUUCUCCCUUCCUCUUCCCUUAACUAUACAAACAUUCUGCCAGAAGUUAUGUGGGGUCCCUUUAAGUCAAAAAGGGAGCAACUAAUGCAGAGACCUUCCCCCCAAAAUACUAUCUGAUUUCUAUGGUCAGUAGGCAAGAGGUAGCCAAUAUGCUUCUGAUAGACUGGUUUAAUAAUCUGGGGGAUUUGCUCUGAAAUAGCCCUGUGCCUGGAAGAGUGCAGGGGUUCAUAUGUCAUUGUAUAGAUUUGCCUUAACUAGUUUGCUGCAUACCUCAUGGUGAGAGGGAAUAAUAAGGAGUAUCAAUUCCUUGAUUUAGUUUUACCUUGUGUUCCUACGUGCAUUGAUGCAUCUUUAUUGGAAAUAUCUUUUACAUUAAUAAAGUACAGAAUAUGCUCACAAGGACUAUUUAUUUCACCAAAAACACAUUAUUCAAACUAGUAGUAUGGUACCAAAAUGGAUUUAUUUGGAAACCAGAGCCAAAAAAAUCUAUGGCUUCAUUUCCCUAGGAAUAUGGAGGUUACAGCAGAUAGUAUUUUCUGCUGUGGAAAGGACACCCCUUUUUACACCAGUGUACCAGUAUCCCAUGUAACACAGAGCUCUUUGUCAUGAAAAUGGAGCCAAUUCACAUCCUCUAGAAAUAUUAGAAAGUGACUUACUGAUACAACACAACUGUAGUUCCAGUAGACAACCACUGAGUAUCUAAUAUAAAAACUACAAAUUAAUGUCUAAUUAAGUAUUUUGCUUAACCUGAAAGUUACUUUUCUAGCAAAUGAAUCAACCAGUACUAAUAGACAUUUUUUUUUUACUGAAGUUGUCUUCCAAUAUUUUGGGUUAUAUUGUUUCCCAUUUGUAAUCCACAGAGUUGAAAAACGUGGAAGAGAGGAGGUAUUCUGCUCUAUUAAAGAAACUAAAAAUUA